ACAAACUCACUAUAUAGAGACUGUAAGAGAUGAUAUA
RNAcentral lists this non-coding RNA (37 nucleotides) under Trypanosoma brucei brucei. The record is from RNAcentral. Lineage: Eukaryota; Euglenozoa; Kinetoplastea; Trypanosomatida; Trypanosomatidae.